Molecule: ribosomal RNA, 505 nt
Filed under: uncultured bacterium
Lineage: Bacteria
Description: bacterial SSU rRNA
Rfam family: Bacterial small subunit ribosomal RNA
Source: RNAcentral
UCAGAACGAACGCUGGCGGCGCGUCUUAAGCAUGCAAGUCGAACGGCAAGAGGUAGCAAUACCUCCUAGAGUGGCGGACUGGUGAGUAACACGUGGGUGACAUACCCUUCAGAUGGGGAUAGCUAUUAGAAAUAGUAGAUAAUACCGAAUACGAGCACAGGGGUUAGAGAUCUGUGAGGAAAGGAGCUAAGGCUCCGCUGAAGGAAUGGCCUGCGGCCCAUUAGCUAGUUGGUGAGGUAAGAGCCCACCAAGGCGAUGAUGGGUAUCCGGCCUUAGAGGGUGAACGGACACAUUGGGACUGAGAUACGGCCCAGACUCCUACGGGAGGCAGCAGCUAAGAAUAUUCCGCAAUGGACGAAAGUCUGACGGAGCGACGCCGCGUGGAUGAAGAAGGCCGGAAGGUUGUAAAAUCCUUUUGAAACUGAAGAAUAAGCGUUGUAGGGAAUGACAGCGUGGUGACAGUAGGUUUUGAAUAAGCAACGGCUAAUUACGUGCCAGCCGCUGC